AUGAGAGCACGGCCGUCGGGCACCGGCACACUGGCAGCGCGCGCAUGGGCCUCCUCGCCGCGGCCUCGGACUGGAAGAAUUCGUGGAUGGUCUCACCAUCUCAGAANNNNNNNNNNNCUUCCUCUGCGGCUUGCUGGCCUCGUUGGUGGACAGAGGGGUCGGCUGCCUCUCGCGGCUCUGAACUGCAGGACUCGCUGGAUGGAUGUGAGUGUGAGCAACCAAGCUAUAUCAGAUUGCUCACAAGAUAGGUUAGAUUUUUGUGGCAUAUCACUAUCCUUUUUCUGUUGGUGUAGACCUUUUCCUAUUGUAUUAUGA
Molecule: ribosomal RNA, 315 nt
Filed under: Triticum aestivum (bread wheat)
Lineage: Eukaryota; Viridiplantae; Streptophyta; Magnoliopsida; Poales; Poaceae
Description: partial small subunit ribosomal RNA
Source: RNAcentral